Pelobates fuscus (common spadefoot toad) is the source of this 6196-nucleotide RNA transcript. It is a transcript of the gene named zinc finger SWIM-type containing 9, with no coding region annotated. Lineage: Eukaryota; Metazoa; Chordata; Amphibia; Anura; Pelobatidae. The record is from RefSeq and is a predicted model, not a curated record. The transcript is spliced from 9 exons.
GCGACUUUAACCGUUUGGAUCCUGAAAGAAGCAGGCGCAGCACAAUGGAGCUCAGCGAAUGGGUUAACUGAAGCCCUCUAGAGAAGCCACUGGAAUUGUGCAAUUUAGAAGAAAGUACUAGUCUCAAGCAAAGAAAUCCCAUUUAUUUACUAUAGCUUUUGGACUUGCAAAACAUGGCACUACAACCUGAAAAGAAAAAAGGCAGGUCUUUAAGCCUUGCAGGUAUUGCACAAAUCUCAAAUGACAUCUCAAGGAAGUUCUUGGACCGCAGUGACCUGUCAAGACUUUUGCGUAUCACUUCUAGUUCUCUUAAAGACCACAUUCAAGUUCUUGCAGAAUUGGAUAACUUUUUGAUUGCUGACCCGCUUGCCAAAAUAAAAUUGGUUUUUGUGGAGGACACUGUGUUUGUAAAAAACAUCUUUGUAAUAUCCUCCAAUAUGCAAGACAUUUCUCAAAAAUUCCCUGAACAUCUCUAUAUAGAUCUCUUAAGUAAUGUUUGCCCUGGCUUUGACUUGUACACAGUGUCCUGUGAAGAUGGUAACUCGGAUUGGAAGAUAUGUGCCACUUGUAUAUCAAAAGCAAAUAAUUCUGAUGUAUUGCGGUUUUUAGUUGUGUCUGUCUUGCAAAGUAUUCCUAAAAUGAAAUCUCAGAUCAAGUAUAUAACAAUACAUCCAGCAAUAAGAGAUUCCCUAGACAUGGGCACACUUUUACCAAAUGCAACAAUAAGACACUGUAUUUUGUUAAUUGUGCAAGUUGUAGAAAAAAAAAUAUCUCACCUUCAGUUGGCUACCCAGGCUCAAAUUAAAUCAAUAUUUAAUAUUCUGCUCAAUACAAGGUCAUUGAAAGUGUACAAUCGGCACUUAAAUGAGUUAAAGGGACUUUGUCCUGCUGAGGUUUUUCAGUACUACCUUGAUACAUGGCAUCCAAGCAGAAAACAGUGGUAUGCAAAGGACAACAAGAAAGCGAAAACGGAGAAGACAAUUGUUGCUUAUGUUAUGUCUUUGCAUUAUACACUUGGAACAGAAAUUAAUAGUUCAUUUUCAUUAACCGAUUGCCUUCGUGUUAUCCUUAAUGACACUCGUGAAUUAAAAAGCGUGCCAGAUGUUUUACCUUCUGUGGAACCUCAACAUGUGCCUGAAGUACCUUCAACUGUUAAAGAAGAGAUGUUUGAUGAAAAUCCACCAAACGAAUUGGAACACAUGGAGUUCUACAGUUGGGAAGCUUUCCAUUCAUUCUUGAGCGCCUGGUGUAAAGAGCGCAAAGUUAUUUUUGUUAUUCGCCAUUCAGAGCUCCUCACCAGUGAGGAUGUGAACGAAGAGCUGAUUCAGUCUCUUAAGUACAGUGCAGUUAAUCUUGGAUGCACCAGUUACACCAGGAAACGUUGUCCUGCCACAAUUCAUUUGAGAUUGGGACCUGAAAAGGACAAACUCAUAAUUACAAAGGCUGACCUCAAUCACAUCCAUGAUUCUGAAAUUGACCUGCCGUCUCGUUUUACAAGAAAACCAGUGUCUUAUGUGGAAAUCCCUAAGACGGUAUCAUCUGAUGUUAAUGAAGAUAAAUUUAUGGAUAAAAAUGACUUGACAAAGCUUUUACGCUUACACUCUCCACUUAGUGAAUCACAGUUUUUGGAUGAACUCGAAUCUCUCUUUAAUUCAGAUCCAACUGUAAAAGUUAAAAUGGUUUUCUCUGAGGAGAAAUUCAUAGUAAAGAACAUUUUUGUGAUGACUACUGCAAUGCAGAAUUUGCUGCAGCAUUUUCAUGAACAUAUCUUUGUUGACUUCUUUCGUGCUCUAAAUCAAGAAUUUGAUUUAUAUUCUGUCCUUUGCCAGGAUGAAAGUUUUAACUGGAAAGUAUGUGCCUACUGCAUUGCAAGGAAGGAUUCUUCAGAAUCUUUAAAGUUUCUCAUGAAUUCUUUCUUGCAGAGCAAUCCUAAUUUAAGCAAAAAAGUGAAAUAUAUUACAUUAAGUCCAGAAAUACUGAAUCAAGUUGAUACUGAGGUACUGUUUCCAAAUGCUACUGUGAGAUGUUGUCUUCCACUUGUUCUGGACAAAAUGCAUCAUAAAAUUUCUUUUUUAAGUCAAAUGGAGCAAUCACAAAUUAAGAACUUGCUUGUCAAUUUGUCCCAGUCCUCCUCGACUGACAUAUAUCGGCAACAUCUUGGCAACUUGAAAACCGCUUGUCCUGAUGAAGUUUUUCAGUACUAUUAUGACACAUGGCAUCCAUGUUGGAAGUUAUGGUGUGAAAAGGAUAAUAGAACCUCUGAUGUGGAGAACUCAAUUUUUGCUUAUGUGAAAACAAAACAUCAGUAUGUGAAAGGACAAGUGGGGUCAUUAGUUUCCUUACAUCAGUGUUUACAAGCCAUUCUUACAGAGGAUCAGGAAUUUGUAGAAUUCGCCGAAUCAAACCAUGUUGAGAUGUCGGACACAAGUUCAUGGGGUCUACAAACCACCACACCUGUGGAGUUUCAAGAACAAGAGCUGGUUCCUGAUGAAAUUACUCCUGGUGCUAUUCAGAAGGAUUGUGAAAAUAUUUUACGCGAGAAGUUGGAUGGGAAAGAAUUUCAGAGUUGGGAUGAUUUCUGUUGUUUCUUGGAAACCUGUAGUAAAGAUAAAUUCCAGCUACGCGUGUCCUCAUCAUUUACCGAAGAAAGCAAAGGAGAAAUAUUUCCAAUUUCAGACAUGGCUUUGUCAUUGAAAUACAGCUGGGCUCAGCUUUCCUGCAGUUGGAAUGGCUGCUCGGCUUUUGUUGAACUUGCGCUGAGCCCACAAAAAGAUAAACUUAUUAUUACUCAAAGCAAUCUGCAGCAUACUCAUAAUGAUGAAGAAACCACUCUCAGUCCUCCUGCAAAAAAAUGUAAGGUCUCCGCUACAGUAGGUGUGCCAGUGCAAGUUGCAAACAACAUAUCCAGAAAAUUUCUGGAACCAAGUGAUCUAAAACGACUUCUUCGCUUUCGAUCUGGAGCAUUUGAGGACCGUACGCAAGUGCUUGGAGAAUUGGACUCCCUCUUUGUUUCUGACCCUAAUGCAAAAGUUAAACUUGUGUUUGUGGAAGACAAACUGCUUGUUAGCAAAAUAUUCAUAAUGACAUCUUCAAUGAUAGAGCAGGCUCAAAAAUCCCCUGAUUACCUUUUUAUUGAUGUGUGUUUACAGUUUAGUCCGAGUUUUGAUCUGUACACUCUUUAUUGUGAAGAAAAGGGAGCAGGAUGGAAAGUCUGUGCCUAUUGCAUUGCAAAGAAAGGCAUUAUGGAUGUUUUUGAAUUCCUUUCAUGCUCAGUUGUUCAGGUUGUCCCCGCAUUAAUCAACCAGGUGAAACAUGUUACAGUACAUCCUGAAAUCGCUGAACCUCUCAAAGUUGAAACCUAUUUACCACAUGCUUCCACAAGAUAUUGUAUGCAUUUAGUUUUAGAUGUGCUGUAUCAAAAAAUUGCACACCUUGAUACCACAGUAGUAGCUCAGAUUAAGAACUUCCUUCAUAUCCUGUCUCAGACAUGUUCACAUAAAGUAUACAAUGAAUAUUUGAACCAUCUUAAAGUAGUUUGCCCACCUGAGAUAUUCCACUACUAUUAUGACAUGUGGCAUCCACUCAGAAAAAUGUGGGCAAAAAAGGAUAAUAGGAUUGAAGAAGCUGAAAAAAAUAUAUUUGAACUGGUGUCAGUGAAACACGAGGCACUCAAAACUGAGCUGGGUGCUCUUCCCUCUUUGCACCAAUGCCUGUGUGCAGUACUUGGUGAACAACAUAAAGUGUCAGCCAUUAAUGCUCUUCUUCAGGAUUCAGAUAUUCCAGUAUGCUGGGAAAAUAGAGACUCUCCUGCUGUCUCUCCAUCUUCAAAUGACCAGCUACAGAAUUAUGAGCAACCAAUGCUUGAAGUUGAAGGAAAUGUCCACAGAGUGGAUUUCUCAGCACAUUUAACAAAUGAGAUAAGAGUGUCUGCCUCUGAAUAUCCUCCUCAGGGAAAGGUGGAUGGAUCCAAUCCAUAGCCGGGCAAAAAGCUACAACACAUUUUUCUGAUGUUAAAAGGCUCUGUGAGUCUAUGAAGACGUGCAGUAUAUAUUUUUAAACAAGGCUGCAGUGGGGAAGCUUUACACCUUGCAUAAUUUGAUUCUGAAAUGUAUCAUGUAUAUACUGAUUCAAUUUAAAAACACAAUGUCUAGCUCUGUAACACGACAAGUUGAUGGAAAUUAGUCAAAGGAAGUACUUUUGUUGAAGGCAAUAUUACUACCUAUACUCACACAAUGAUCUGCAACAGAGAUUGCAGAUCACUGUAUGAUAGAGGCAAAAAACCAAAAUGAUUGUUCAAAGACCUCUUUUACGUAAUAUAAUAUUUUCUCAUAGACUAUCAGUAGAUUUGAUUAAUUUAAACCGUAAUAAUAAUAAUCAAUCGAACUUUCCUCUGAAGUACAGUUCCUGUUCAGAAAUUAUAUGGAUCGAUGGGAAGAGGGGACAAGAAUAAAGCCUUAACAGCAACCACAUCAGGAUUAAACCUAGUUACUGUUUCCAUAGUUAUAUAUUUUCAGUCUGGUGACUUGGUUGAAAUCAGAAAUUCUUCAAACAAGUUACAAAAUUAAUCUUUUGCUUUCCAGUGCUGUGAUCUUUAAAGUGGCGUUGUCACCAAAAUUUGUCUAUGCACCAUCAUUUUCGACUUUACAAACUGCCUAUACCUCAUGUUGAUCAUUUUUACAUCUGUUCAGCCAUUUCUUCAAAAACUAAAUACGAAUUCUAGCAAAUCUUUACCAUGGGCAUGUUGGACACUGUAUCAUCAGUUUUUCAUUUUUUUCUGCACAGUGGAAAGCUGGGAAACAACCCAGCGGAUUGCAGUUUGUGAAUGGCUGUUAUCACAUACUCUCUACAGCCAUUUUUUUAUUAUUUAAAGCCAGUAGCUAUUUCUGAAGGAUUGAAAAAAAAAAUGUGAUGGAAUUCCAGGAAGACCAUCGCUACACUGAAAAACAGUCUUCAAGUGAGUUUUAUGGACCAAAUGUUCUAACUGAUCCCUCGUUUGCUUGAAGCCCCAUUCUCCGCUUGUCGUGUCAACCUACUGGACAGAAGUAUGUUGAGUGCAGUGUGUCUUCACUCAAUUUCUCAUUGCAUUAAGCAUUAUAUUUUUCAGCCUGAUACAGCCAAUAUCCGAUAUCUUCAUACAUGAACUUUACCGUACAUUUCAAUACUUGCAGCACAAAUAUAAUUGAAACAUUUUGUCUUAUUAUUACGAAGAUAAAUCCUUUAUGUGAAAUGUAGUUUUGAAAGCUGUAAGAAACGUGUCUCCCUUCUUCCAGAUUAUUAGCGUUCUGCAUUUCCAACAGUAUUUCUUUCAUUAUGUUUUGUUUUUCUGAUCUCAUCUUUUUAUUUUUUUAUUUUAUCUUACAAAAUAUUUAUUUUGCUUCCAUAGGUUUAUGAUAGAAUUAUGAGUGUGAAAGCAAGUACCAAAGAGAAAAUGUUGCUUAGGUUUACUCCAGAGCCUCCCAUAAAUUAUAUUCGUAUGUGAACCAUGUAAAUUAUAUUUUCAACACAAAUAUAUACAUACAUGCAUGCUAUGUAAACAUGUCUUAUAAAACAUCUGUUUAUGGAAUCGUUUAAUUUUUCUUGCUGACAACUAGAAAGAAAGGGAGCCUUUAAUCUGUUUCUGAAUAUAAAUAAUAUUGGAUAAAAUAAAUGACUGACAUUUUGUUCACUUGUUUUUAAAAAACCCAAUUUAAGCAUUUGCGAAUUAUGAGUCAUAACAAAUUACAGUUUGUGUAUAAACUUACAUGGGAUACUGCUCAUUGCUAACCACUAAAUUGCAUGGCUUCAUUACUCUCCUUAUUUUUAAACUUUUAAAAUACCUUAUUGAUUAGCAAACCAUACACUGAUGUCUAAAUAAAGUGCUUUGGAUGAAAGCUUGUAAUGUGUGAUCAACCAACAGGUGAUCAAUUUGAACCCCGAUAUCACAUUUAGGCACAUGGAUUUCUACAAGGUCAAUAAAACCAUAAACUAUGGCUACUUUAGUUCAACGCAUAUCAUUACUCCCAGGUACGGCAUAAUAUAAUUCAUAGAAUUGAGCACCAAAUGGAUAACUAUAAGACAUUCUGCCUUAAAGGGAAAAUUAAAACAAAAUUAUGUUUGAAUAUAGUUAAGCAUCCUGUUAUAUCUUGUUUCAUAUAGAUGUCACUUUCCACAAUAUUUUAACUGUCAUAUUCUUUGAAUAAACCAAUUAUGUGGAUGA